RNAcentral lists this transfer RNA (75 nucleotides) under Candidatus Collinsella stercoripullorum. Its description in RNAcentral is "tRNA-Glu". It matches the Rfam family "tRNA". Rfam says of the family: Transfer RNA (tRNA) molecules are approximately 80 nucleotides in length. Their secondary structure includes four short double-helical elements and three loops (D, anti-codon, and T loops). Lineage: Bacteria; Bacillati; Actinomycetota; Coriobacteriia; Coriobacteriales; Coriobacteriaceae. The record is from RNAcentral.
GUCCCCAUCGUCUAGCGGUCAGGACAUCGCCCUUUCAAGGCGACGACACGGGUUCGAGUCCCGUUGGGGGCACCA